Molecule: small RNA, 1008 nt
Filed under: Pan troglodytes (chimpanzee)
Lineage: Eukaryota; Metazoa; Chordata; Mammalia; Primates; Hominidae
Description: processed transcript
Source: RNAcentral
UGGAUAUCAAAGUAUUGCAGAGUGCCUUAGCAGCCAUCCGACAUGCCCGCUGGUUCGAGGAAAAUGCUUCUCAGUCCACAGUUAAAGUUCUCAUCAGACUACUGAAGGACUUGAGGAUUCGUUUUCCUGGCUUUGAGCCCCUGACACCCUGGAUCCUUGACCUACUAGGCCAUUAUGCUGUGAUGAACAACCCCACCAGACAGCCUUUGGCCCUAAACGUUGCAUACAGGUACAGCAUGCUUUGGGUUUAGGGUUGGUUGUAAACUAUUUUGUGCAUUCCUUUAAUACCUCAUACCUCCCUGUGUUCUAGGCGCUGCUUGCAGAUUCUGGCUGCAGGACUGUUCCUGCCAGGUUCAGUGGGUAUCACUGACCCCUGUGAGAGUGGCAACUUUAGAGUACACACAGUCAUGACCCUAGAACAGCAGGACAUGGUCUGCUAUACAGCUCAGACUCUCGUCCGAAUCCUCUCACAUGGUGGCUUUAGGAAGAUCCUUGGCCAGGAGGGUGAUGCCAGCUAUCUUGCUUCUGAAAUAUCUACCUGGGAUGGAGUGAUAGUAACACCUUCAGAAAAGGCUUAUGAGAAGCCACCAGAGAAGAAGGAAGGAGAGGAAGAAGAGGAGAAUACAGAAGAACCACCUCAAGGAGAGGAAGAAGAAAGCAUGGAAACUCAGGAGUGACAUUCCCUUCACUCCUUUUCCUACCCAAGGGGGAAGACUGGAGCCUAAGCUGCCUGCUACUGGGCUUUACAUGGUGACAGACAUUUCCGUGGGAUAGGGAAGAUAGCAGGAAGAAAAGUAAACUCCAUAGAAGUGUCAUUCCACUGGGUUUUGAUAUUGGCUUAGCUGCCAGUCUCCCAUUUGUGACCUAUGCCAUCCAUCUAUAAUGGAGGAUACCAACAUUUCUUCCUAAUAUUCUAUAAUCUCCAACUCCUGAAAACCCCUCUCUCAACUAAUACUUUGCUGUUGAAAUGUUGUGAAAUGUUAAGUGUCUGGAAAUUUUUUUUUCUAA